This 163-nucleotide non-coding RNA is filed under the name bovine gut metagenome. Its description in RNAcentral is "Lysine riboswitch". It matches the Rfam family "Lysine riboswitch aptamer". From Rfam's summary of the family: Riboswitches are metabolite binding domains within certain messenger RNAs that serve as precision sensors for their corresponding targets. The record is from RNAcentral.
UGAGAUAGAGGAUGCGUUUGGUCAUCAGUAGCCAUUCCGAUUCGUAGUGCAGUGCGGGGAAGAAACGAAAGGGGCCGACGCCGAAGAAAGGCGGGCUGCAAGACGCCGAUCUGGGAGUACGUAAUAAGAUGCGUGCGACUGUCGCAAAACGCGGAGCGCUAUC